CCGUUGAUUUUGUUUUAAUAAGAUAGAUAGAUCGGCUACUAUUGUCAUUUGGUGGACUCAAAUUAAGAGAACUAUAUAAGAUAAUGAAUAUCAGGGAUGAUGUAUUCUUUUAGUAGAUAACAGAAGUAGGUACACCGUACACAUGACACAUAUGCAAGCCCACUCACAAUAUGUUAUGUCACACGGUCGAUGGGUUGGUGUUUGAAGAGGUUUUCAAUUUCUGAAAGCUAAAUAUAUACAUAUAUCUCUUCGAAAUUUUUAUUUUUUUCCCCGAUUUUUUAAUUUUUUUUUUCUCUACCCGAAAGGGUGAAUAUCAAUAUGCAAAAAUAUAAUAAAAACUAUGUGGGCCAGGUCAUAGUUAUAGUGGAUCAUUCUUGCACAUAGAUAUGCUAAAUAUGCAAAAGGAAAAUUAGUUCACAGUUGAACUGAGUGGAAACUUAGCCAAUAAAUUUUCGCUAUUGAUACUAAAAUGUCAGAACCCAUAUAUUUGGAUUAUUUUCCAAUUACCAAUAAAAAUAAAAACAUUCAUGAUAAAUCAUUAUGUAAAGAUGACUGCUUCUAAAAAUGUCAUAUUAUGUGGGUAACAUUUCAGCCGCCGCACAGAAGAAAAAAGAAGAGAACUCCAUAGCCUCCGAUCUCCUUUUGUGGUGGGCCGUGCUCCUUACCGCCGCUACAUGAGGGAAGAUCUUCUCUUCCUCUUUAGUUUAAUUGUAUGGUUUCAUAUCUUUUGGCGUUUCUUAGUAUCCUUCGUGAUUGAGAUCUUUCGUUGAUAAGCUUGCAUGGCUGUGGAGUCUUUUGGGGUUGAAUCAGUGCUUGGGUCCCUUGAGAAUUGACGAUUGGGUGAAGCGUUGUAGAGGAGACUUCUGUGGGGGUAGUUGGUGCUUAAUCGUUCUGUUUUUUGUUGCUCCCCUUUGUGUUUUUUCUAGACUGUGUUCUGCACUUGGAGUGUGGUUCCAGCUUUUUUGUUUGGUUCAGGUGAAGUUUUGGUUCGGAGAGUUGGGUUCAGUGACGAGUCUGGCGCUAUAUGUCAGGUCGAGGACCUGUUGACGGUGCGGUGUAGCUGUUGGGAGCAGUGCAGGUGCUUUCGCUGACGUCGUCUUUGGACUUUCUUCAACUUUAGUCCUUUUGCUGCUCAUCGUAUCUGCAUAGAAUUUAGUUCUCGCGUCCCGAAGAUCUUUGGUUUGCUAUUGGCUUCUCUCUAGUGAAAAGGUCUGAUUUGAGGUUUGUUGUUCCUCGCUCUGCUGUAUGGUCCGGCGGAUUGGCCUUUUUUUGUUCUUCGGUUUGGCUGUCAAGCAUUUCAAGUGUUGGGGGUCUGUUCUCAUUAGAGGCCCAUUCUCGGUUCGUCUGGUUGUCUCCUUGUAAAUUUCUGGUGGUUCUAAGUUUUAUGGAUCCUAUCUCAUUCUUCCUCUCUCAUGAACUUUCAGUAACUUGGAGUUUUCAGUUUUGAAUUUCAACUUGUUUCGGUUGCUUAUGUGCCAUGUGGAUGAGCUUUAGUUUUCCUUCUUAUGAGAUUUAAUUUCUCUUCUUAUGGGAUUUAGUUGCUGAGGA
Long non-coding RNA from Brassica napus (rape), 1548 nucleotides. RefSeq lists it as uncharacterized. The transcript has 2 exons. The record is from RefSeq and is a predicted model, not a curated record. NCBI's taxonomy places the organism in Eukaryota, Viridiplantae, Streptophyta, Magnoliopsida, Brassicales, Brassicaceae.